Molecule: ribosomal RNA, 522 nt
Filed under: Setarches guentheri (channeled rockfish)
Lineage: Eukaryota; Metazoa; Chordata; Actinopteri; Perciformes; Setarchidae
Description: partial 12S ribosomal RNA
Rfam family: Bacterial small subunit ribosomal RNA
Source: RNAcentral
ACCCCCGUGAGAAUGCCCUACAGCUCCCUGCCCGGGAACAAGGAGCUGGUAUCAGGCCCACAUCAGUGAUCCCAUGACACCUUGCUUAGCCACACCCUCAAGGGAAUUCAGCAGUGAUAAACAUUAAGCCAUGAGUGAAAACUUGACUUAGUUAAAGCUAAGAGGGCCAGUAAAACUCGUGCCAGCCACCGCGGUUAUACGAGAGGCCCGAGUUGAUACCAUUCGGCGUAAAGAGUGGUUAGGAGAAAUAAAUACUAAAGCCGCACACCUUCAAAGCUGUUAUACGCACCCGAAGACCAGAAGCUCAACCACGAAAGUAGCUUUAUAAACCUGACCCCACGAAAGCUCUGGCACAAACUGGGAUUAGAUACCCCACUAUGCCUAGCCCUAAACAUUGGCACGAAAUACCACACACCCUGCCCGCCCGGUGACUACGAGCAUCAGCUUAAAACCCAAAGGACUUGGCGGUGCUUUAGACCCCCCUAGAGGAGCCUGUUCUGUAACCGAUAACCCCCGUUAAAC